GUCCCUCGUUCAGCAAAAUCUCAAUUGCAAAGGCAACAACUUUCCGGGAACGAGCUUUGCGUGCACCCGAGAGACCAAUGAUAGUAGGAACACAACUGCCCCAGUCUGCCUUAAAGAGCCAGGCAUGUGCCAGUGAGGGCCUCCCCUUGCUCUCCCCACAACAGGCUGCUGCUCCACUCUCUUAAGGUGGACCAGAAGAGAUGUGUUGCUUGGGUAUAACACCUUGACUGAACAAUGGACGGGAAAGAGUUAAUUCCCACGGUCUCGCUUCUAGCCUCUCUGUGAUCCCAUGUAAUGCACUUUUUGAUCCGGUUUUGCUUUAAGCGGUAAUGUUUUUCUUCCAUUUUUUUUGUUGUUGUGCUUGAUCAGAAUCACCUUUAUUUGCUAAGUACAUUUACACAUACGUUUACACUGUGUAGUGGUGCUAGUCAACACAGAGGUAGAAUACUCAGUAUUGAGGCUGACAUCCAUUUAUUUGCAAUGGGUUGGGGAGCGUAAGAUAAUGGGAAGGAGAGGUGAGUAUAUCCUAUACAUUAAUUCACAGUUGAUGUAACAAAAAAUACAGUUCAAGUAUGCUGCUGUAUCUAGACACAGGGAGAUGAGCUGAGUUUUAAAUUCGGUAUAGUGAAUAUUGAUUAGUUAAUAGUUAACCAUUUGAGGUUGCUUCAUGUGCAGAGGAUGUUGGCCUCUUGUGUUUCUGUAUACUGUAUGUAUAGUGAGCAUUUUUAUUUAGUUAUGUACAUCUCAACUGUAAAAGGGAUAUUUUGUCUCAGUAUCAGCACAACCCGCUGCUAAAAUGAGCAAGGCACUGUGGUAGACUGUUGUGUACUUUAGUUAAUGUAGUCUUAAGGUAAAUUCCUCUGUAGGAUUUGUCACAACUGUUCUUUUGACUUUGGCUGCUUUUUGUUCUUUCCCCUGUACGAGUGAUCCCACACAACUUCAAUUAUGACUGUAAAUUAUGACGGUAAACCUAACAGAUUACCGUCACUGUUUUUGUAAUCAGUUAGUUACAUGUAAUAAAAUAGUUACUUUCCAACCUUGCCCCUACUGUACGUACCUAUAUAAAAACAUCAAUGACAUUGUCCGUUUUAUGACUAUCUGUGUAUGUUAGACCCUAGUCCUUCAGUGAAUAUGUCUCUUUGUUCAGUGUGGGUCUUCUUUUUUUUCUUCUGUUUUUGUUCAUUUUUCAUUUUGUUCAUGGAGUGUCUGUACCUUCCUCCUAAAUGUUUUCUUAAAAAAAAUAAUAAACACACGCCCUAUAUUAUUUGUACAAUUUCCUGUUUUGUAUUUCUGCCCGUGUGUUCAAUAAAAAGUUUGCCUGUCUGUG
Molecule: long non-coding RNA, 1327 nt
Organism: Esox lucius (northern pike)
Lineage: Eukaryota; Metazoa; Chordata; Actinopteri; Esociformes; Esocidae
Exons: 2
Source: RefSeq, a predicted model, not a curated record